AUUGAACGCUGGCGGCAGGCCUAACACAUGCAAGUCGAGCGGAUGAAGGGAGCUUGCUCCUGGAUUCAGCGGCGGACGGGUGAGUAAUGCCUAGGAAUCUGCCUUGUAGUGGGGGAUAACGUCCGGAAACGGGCGCUAAUACCGCAUACGUCCUGAGGGAGAAAGUGGGGGAUCUUCGGACCUCACGCUAUCAGAUGAGCCUAGGUCGGAUUAGCUAGUUGGUGGGGUAAAGGCCUACCAAGGCGACGAUCCGUAACUGGUCUGAGAGGAUGAUCAGUCACACUGGAACUGAGACACGGUCCAGACUCCUACGGGAGGCAGCAGUGGGGAAUAUUGGACAAUGGGCGAAAGCCUGAUCCAGCCAUGCCGCGUGUGUGAAGAAGGUCUUCGGAUUGUAAAGCACUUUAAGUUGGGAGGAAGGGAAGUAAGUUAAUACCUGGCUGUUUUGACGGUACCAAAAGAAUAAGCACCGGCUAACUUCGUG
Molecule: ribosomal RNA, 484 nt
Filed under: uncultured bacterium
Lineage: Bacteria
Description: partial 16S ribosomal RNA
Rfam family: Bacterial small subunit ribosomal RNA
Source: RNAcentral